RNAcentral lists this long non-coding RNA (555 nucleotides) under Homo sapiens (human). RNAcentral's name for it is "HSALNT0202404". The record is from RNAcentral. Lineage: Eukaryota; Metazoa; Chordata; Mammalia; Primates; Hominidae.
CUAGAGGGCAGUAUAGUGCCCUAAAAAUAGAAAGUUAAGAAUAACAAGAAAUCCAAAUAAGGAAACCAUGACAUGGGAAAUGAUAGAAUCUGAAGACAAGCUUCACAUACUUCAAAACUGGUUCUGGAUGAAGUCCAAUUUGUGUGUUUCGGCAGGCAGUAAGGAAGAUGUUUCUUGUGUCUGAUCAAUAACACAGAAGCAACUGAAGAAACAAUAUGUGGAUGCUUCAAAGAUGAGUGAAAACAUUUCUUCCAAUACCCACCAUUCUCAAUUACAAUUGAUGAUACUACUCUGGAGUACUUUUGCACCUGUUGAAAUGUUAUGUUGAAUAAUAAAUGAUAUCUGCUAUGAAGACAAAAGGAAAUUGUAAGUGAUGUGGUAAUCUUUAGUGCAAACCAGGAAGAUAGUGGCAAAAUUGUGAGAGAAUUAAGGGAAAAUGCAUUGUUUGCUCAUUCAAACUUAUUCCCGUAAACAUUUACAAAUAUCUUAUUUUCUUAAAAAGGUAAAACUAUGACUGACAGUUUAACACCUAAUUUCUUAUAAAUUGCUAUUAGA